Molecule: ribosomal RNA, 468 nt
Filed under: uncultured bacterium
Lineage: Bacteria
Description: partial 16S ribosomal RNA
Rfam family: Bacterial small subunit ribosomal RNA
Source: RNAcentral
GACGAACGCUGGCGGCGUGCUUAACACAUGCAAGUCGAACGGAAAGGCCCUGCUUUUGUGGGGUGCUCGAGUGGCGAACGGGUGAGUAGCACGUGAGUAACCUGCCCUUGACUUUGGGAUAACUUCAGGAAGCUGGGGCUAAUACCGGAUAGGAGCUCCUGCUGCAUGGUGGGGGUUGGAAAGUUUCGGCGGUUGGGGAUGGACUCGCGGCUUAUCAGCUUGUUGGUGGGGUAGUGGCUUACCAAGGCUUUGACGGGUAGCCGGCCUGAGAGGGUGACCGGCCACAUUGGGACUGAGAUACGGCCCAGACUCCUACGGGAGGCAGCAGUGGGGAAUAUUGCACAAUGGGCGGAAGCCUGAUGCAGCAACGCCGCGUGCGGGAUGACGGCCUUCGGGUUGUAAACCGCUUUCGCCUGUGACGAAGCGUGAGUGACGGUAAUGGGUAAAGAAGCACCGGCUAACUACGUG